AGUUUUGGAUGAAUCAAAGUUUGGUUUAUAAGUGUACGUGUUUUUGUUUAAAAGUACAGAAAUGAAGACAACACUGGAAAAUACGCUGGACACAUGCUGGAAAUUUGCUUCUCAGCACAGCCAUGGACAAAUAGUACUGCAUCUACUUUGUUGGGACUUUUAGAAGAUGUAUGGGUGCUCCUUUAGUGAACCAAAAAGCAGUACAAAUUUGUCGCUGAUGUAAUUUCUCACAGACUUGCAAUACUGUGCAUUUUAAGCACAAAGCCUUUUUAAAAUUUUUGUUUAAACUUUUGACAGGGACAAUAAUUGGUCCAGAAAACUGAGCUGUUGACGUGGAGAAGCUCAAGCCAAAUACAAAUAUAUGUCUCUGGCUAGAUGAUGCAGCUUUAAAAUCAAAAGGAUUUAUUUAUGAAAAAUGUCAUUUUCUGGAUCAUGAUGUAUUUAAAUUCCAGUUUUUGAUGUUCACAUUUCUGUGCUUAUCCUCCCACUAUUUUAAAAUACAUGCUCACCUUCCUCAGGUUUCUUAAAUGUAAUUCAUCUUAUAGAAGAAGCACACCAUAGAAAAUUUUUGCCUCAGAGGCAUACAUUUAGAGAAAUAACACACUAAGCAUAAGAAGUUUCCUUAAAGCUUAUAGGUAAGUGGAAAUAAUUUAAAAAUCGUGAUGAUAAUGAUAGACCACUAGUGUGCACAGCACUGAUAAUUUGUAGAUUUGAAUUAUUACUGUACAUUUUGUAGGUUUGCCAACUUUUUCUACUGUUGAUUGCAUUCCAGUGCAAGUACUCAUAUCUGAGGAGGCUAUGAUCUGUAUACCUGUGCUAUUGCUAGUAUGUUUUCCAUGCUGGGUUCAAUUUAUUAAUGCGGUCUUAUUCAUUUAUUAUCUAUAAAAUUGCUGUUAGAUAAAACAUAUUACAGAUAAUUGUCAUAGGCAGUGCUCUUCAACGUCACUGUAAGUAGUUUUAACUUUCUGAAAAAAAAAGAACUAGUUUCCACAAGAACAUGGGUGCAUGUCACCACCAAAAACAAAGACAGAUGUGGUUGGUACAUGUUUUGUUUGAGGAUAGGCAUGUGUGAGAAAAAAGAUGUAAAAUGCCAUAGAAACAGAUGAAAAGAAUACACAGAAACCCAUACAGGCCUGAGCAAUCACUGGGAAUGUAGCUGUAAGAAAAGCAGAGCAAGAGAGAUUCAAGAUGACUAUCAGCCAAAAAGGAGUUGAGACUGAGUGAAACAUUCACACAGUUUCAGAGGAAAAGAAUGUACACACAAUCUUUAUAGAGUGCAUCAAAACAUCUGAUGCCAUCUAUUUUCUCUGACCAGAGACACUGCACUAA
Long non-coding RNA from Catharus ustulatus (Swainson's thrush), 1329 nucleotides. RefSeq lists it as uncharacterized. NCBI's taxonomy places the organism in Eukaryota, Metazoa, Chordata, Aves, Passeriformes, Turdidae. The transcript has 2 exons. The record is from RefSeq and is a predicted model, not a curated record.